GUCCUCGCUGAACUCCCCUGAAACCACCUGCGUGACAAAUGGGAAUGAGAGCCGUUAAAAAACAAAAUCAGACUGAUAUACCAAUGCAUUCUUGUAAUAUUCAUAACUCUCUUGACACUGGGGAAAGGUUGUGUUUUCAUCACCAUGGGAACCCCCCCAAAAACAAAUCAGCAACCAUAUAUCUAUUUCCAAAAGCCUGUUAUAGAUCAACGAACACAUUCAAUUUUAUGUAUCUGAGAGAGGGUGUUUUUUUUUUUUUCCAUUGCAAUUGUUCCAACUUUACUCCGUAACCUUUUACAGCGUUGUAAUUGUGCCCGCGUAUCAAAUGUUUUGGUCAGUGAGUGCACAUAAUGUCGAAACUGUAGUCAAGUCUGCGCAUUCCUAAAGAGAAGCAACGAGGCAUGAACCUUGACGCUGAAAGUGAUUGUUUCCAUGACAAAGACUCGGUCGGGGAACACUCCAGCAACUUCUUCCACACUUGAGAAAUACUGGAUGGGAUCCCUGAUGUCUCUGUCUUCAUCCAACAAUUUGAACUUUCCUGCAGAAGGACAUGAGCAGAGAGCGAGAUAAAGAGACACGAAGUUUUGGGAGCACAAAGACACCUCGGCGACUUCUGACCUGGCACCAGCGUUCGAGCCAAUCGACAGGCUACAGGGUUGUCAUGGCAACCGGAGUCAGGGAGGCGGGAGUGGUGUAAGGUGACAUCAGUGCUCCAUCAGUAGAGGAAGCAGUGAAGAGGAGCUCCAGUUACACCGUGAAUAAUACAACUGGUCCAACAAUCGGAAGAAUGGGAUUGGAGAUGAGCUUCGACCCUUAUGAUCAUCUUUGUGCUGCCUGGCUGCAGAAAUAAGUGAAGUUCCGGUUGCGCAAUCAACAUUGCAGGAGCGCAACAACAAGAAUUUCUUGCAGGAGUCAGGAUUGACUGGCCAACGCACUUGUCAAAAAGUCGCAACAAACAAAGUGAUGUUUCCAAGACCUUGCAGCACCUGCGUGGCUGUGAGAUUCUCUUACCGUGGGCCAAUCGGACCAGAGUGGGCAAACGGAACUUGCUGACCACCGCGUCCAAAGGCAGCGCGAGCGGGCUCCAGGAGAUCUCCGACAAGCUCGCCGACAACUUCUCCAUCCUCCCGGGUCAUCACUGUGCCGGAGAUGAGGAGGAGGAUGAAGUUGGAGGCGGCGGUUGCUUGGAUGAAGGUGAGGAGGAUGGAUGUGAAGGUGGUGGAGCUGUCGAAAAGAGUUUCGCCAUGUUUGAAUGUGGGAGAAAAGGAGCUGCGGAGCGUGAGCGAGAGAUGAGGGAGGGCGCCAGAGAUCUUUUCCCCCCUCCCCCCUCACAUGCAUACUCAACAAGCAGUGGUUUAAGUAGGAAAGUAGUACAUCAUAUAAUUCUAAUUCAUUGUAAUCUCUUUGGUUUGGGAAAAAUACUAUUCACACAGGUGUCAAUAGUACUCUCACUUUAUUUAUGGAUGAGUACAGAUAUUAGUAAACAAAAAAAAAAAAAAACAUUGAUAAAUGCAUUAACUCCAUUACUUAAAGGGGAAGUCAACUCAAAAAUGUUCAGUACAAUAAUGUGUUCUAUGCAGCCUCACCAAUCCAAACACAGUAUUCUGAUUAAUAUAUUUGUGGAACUUUUUUUCAUCUCAAUGAGUGGUGUUUUUUUUAUGGAGCAGUUUGAAGCCCAAGUUAUUUUGCCAAACAAGUUUUAGAGCUAUUUUGGUCUUGGUCAGUAAUUGUCAUUCCAGUAUGAUAGAUCAUUUCUAGUGUUUCCAUGACUUACCAGUAAA
This is a long non-coding RNA of Syngnathus typhle (broad-nosed pipefish), 1781 nucleotides long. RefSeq lists it as uncharacterized. The record is from RefSeq and is a predicted model, not a curated record. The transcript has 5 exons. NCBI's taxonomy places the organism in Eukaryota, Metazoa, Chordata, Actinopteri, Syngnathiformes, Syngnathidae.